RNAcentral lists this long non-coding RNA (34555 nucleotides) under Pelobates cultripes (western spadefoot toad). The record is from RNAcentral. Lineage: Eukaryota; Metazoa; Chordata; Amphibia; Anura; Pelobatidae.
GCAAAGCAUCAAUCUGAGUGGUUCAAUGCAACCACUGUACUCCAGGCAGACACUCCUACUCCAGAGAAGGACAAUGGUAUGAUUUAGUGUAAUCAAACAAUUACAGUAUUAAACAUGGAAAGACUAAGUAAACAGGGGAAAAUGGCUGUAGGCUCUAACAACCAACUCAGAUCUGCUUACAAUUUUCUUAUCAAACAAUCAGGUGGGGGGAGGCUAGGGAGCCAUAGUAAAAAUAAUAUAUUAACCAUACUGGGCAAACGUGUGCAAUUCCUCAUCCUUCUCCUUCUUAUAAGGAUCAUGCAAAUCACCAUUUUUCCAGUGCUGAAUUUCCCUCCAUGCAACGGCCAGUUCCUCCUCCGGUGACAUCAUGCUACAGACAGUCUCCUCUUUGUCUCCUCGUCCAAUUCAGUGCUUUUCACAGAGAAGCAUUGGGGAUGGAAGGAGUAUGAGUAAUACACUUGUCCCAUUAAAUGCUUCUCAUAGGGAAGCAUUGACAGACACCAAACGUGACAUAAUGGAGUCUGACUUGGUCAUAGCACAAGUACCCUCUAGUGGCUGGCAGGAAAACAGUCACUAGAGGGGUGUUUAGCUCUCCAAUGAAACCAUUACCAUUUCUAAAAAAAAUAAUAAUUUUGUAUUGCAUUACUAAAACGACAGGACCACUGCACCUAGACCACUUAAUUGACAUGGAGUGGUCUGUGUGCCUAUAGUGGUCCUUUAAAUGGACACUCUAAGCACCAGAGCCACUACAGCUUAAUGCAGUGGUUUUUGUCUAUUAGUACACCUCUAGUGGCUGUUACUCAGACAACCACUGAAGAAGCUUUGCAUUCCUGUAUUCCUUGUACUCCUGCAAUAUUUUCUGUACUAACGGUGAGUGCAGUAGCACAAGGGUAUGUAUCCUACAACUGGAUUGGCUGAUGAUCUCACAAGAGACUGAGAGGUGGUCACAGAGAUACUGAACUGCAUGGUGAGUAAAUUCUUGAUUUUUUAUUUAUGGGAGGAACAUAAUCUAAAAGGUUAGGAAUUAACUUUAACAUUAGAAAGAUGUGUUUGUAUUGCUAACGUUAGAGAUUCCUUUAAGCCAAUCAAAUUAUAGGAGUACUCCGACAUUCCAAAUACAAACCUGUAUUUCUAAUGUUGCAGUGUUCUCAAGCCUAUAUAGAUUGAUUGCCCUCCCCUGUAAAAGUUCAAUAAUGUGAUUUCUUUACUUUUCAUUUCCACUUUGUGUCGGUCUUACCACAGCUGCUCCCCAACCCCUGGCUGAUAAUCAUAGAGAUAGAUUAGCUCAAUUAAAACAAAAGACUGACUGCUCAUUUCCAACUUUGCCUCUAUAAGCCAAACAUAACAUUUUAUCAGAAAUUAAAGGGUUGCAGUUUCACUCUAAAAACGAUGGUAAGUCUAUGUCUAUGAGAAUUUUUACACCAUAGUGAUAUAUAUUGUUAUGAAAUACAGAAAGGGGAGUAUGACAUUAUAGCCAAAUGUUAUAUCUUGCUCUACCAUAUAUGAGUUCCCCUUUUUAAAAGGUAUGUGGUAGACUUGUGUGUCAAGCUUUUUCCCCCCCUUUACUUCUACAGUUCAGCUGAAGUACCAUAUUUUAUAAAUACAAAAAAGGAAAACUGCACUCCAAGGACUUAUUGUUACAAAAUAUAAAACUUAGAUUUUCUUUACAUGAUCCAAUAAAAUGAUGACGUUUCCGCUCUCAAUUGAGAGCUUUCAUCAGGACAUCAGUAUAAAAUAGACAAAUUGACACAAUGUCAUAAAACAUCCCACACUAGCUAUCUUGACUUGAUUGGCAUUGUUUCAAUUUGUCUAUUUUAAGAUAAUCACUUAAAAAGGUAAUGAUUUAUGCUACAGUUGCAAAUUUAAUAAUUUGCGAUUGAUAUUUUAUUGUUGUUAGCUUUAUUUUUUUCUUAUGCUUUUUAUUAUAAGUUUUAUUAUCUACUUCAGUGUGGCUUUAACUUUAGUGCCCCACCGUUUUAGUUUUUUCUAUAAAUUGUCUAGUAUGGAUGAAACGUUAACAUUUGUUUUUGCCUAUGGUGGCCUAUAGUGUCAAAAUUCCUAGCAUAGGUCUUGCUAGUUUGGUAUGCACAAACAACAUCAUAAAAAGCUAAAAUUAUUCUGAUUAUACUCCCAGGAGGGUGAGAAGUGCAGAUUGUCAAGAGUAAAUGGCAUAAUAUAGAUAAUAAUAAUACUGUGUGAUUUUUAUAGCUCUUUUCUCCCUGUGAGACUCAAAUCACUUUACAAAUAUAUAAAACAAACAUAAAAGUUAAGAGUUUCUGAAAGUCAGAUAAGCUGACUGAAUGCCUGAUAAAAGAGGUGGGUGUUUAGCUUUUUUUAAAAAUGUCUGUAAGGAUGGUGUCUCUCUGAUUGAGCAAGGUAAAGAGUUUCAGAAUGUGGGGGCAGCAUGGCUGAAUUCCAAGGAACCUGAGUUUGUCUUUAUUCUUGACACCGAUAGGAGAGAUUUGUUGGCUGACUGAAGUGAGCAUGAUGAAAUAUGUGGUGUCAGGAGCUCUUUCAGGUAUUCUGGACCCUGACUGUUUAAGGUGUUGAAGGUCAGCAGGCAAAUUUUAAAAUAAAUGUUUACCAGUUAAUUGGAAGCCAAUGCACAGAGUGAGAGGACAGGUGCUAUGAGAGAUGAACGAUUUUUGUUGGUCAGCAAUCCGAUGCUGCACUUUUGUACUGUCUGUAGGUGAUGGAUUCUUUUUUCUGGGAGGCCCAAGUAGAGUACAUUACAAAAAUCUAGAUGAACGGGCACAAAUGCAUGGAUUAAUGUUGGCAUAUCAUCCGGUGGGAUGAAGUGUUGUAUCCUGGCUAUGUUUCUUAGAUGAAAGAAGACAGAUUUUAUUACAGAGAAAAUCUGUAGUUUAAAUGAUAGUCAAGAGUCAAUCAGCACUCUGGACUUCCUACCUCUUUUGGACUAAUGAGUUCAGAGCCUCCAAGUUCCAGGCCGUUGGGUUAUCAUGAGGUAAUUUUGUUGCCCAUGGUCCUCUGAACAAGAGUAACUCUAUUUUGUCAGGGUUCACUGUUAGCCAACUACCUUUCAUCCACUCAAUGAGUUUCGUUAAACACCUGUUGAUGAGGCAAUACAGGCCUUUAGUAUCAGCAAAGGAAAAGUAGAUUUGUGAGUCAUCAGUGUAGCAAUGAUUAUAUUAGGCAAGUGAUGUUAUAGCUUGAUAGAUGGGACUCCAGUUGAGUUGACACUACUUUUUUCAAUUAUUUCCCCCCAGAAAUGGAUGGUUGGAUACUGGUCUGUAAUUUGCCAUGCAGCCUGGGUCUAGUGAAGAUUUAUUUAGGUGGGGUUUUACCACUGCUUCUUUUAGAGAAUAUAGGAAGUUUACAGAUUUUAGUGAACACUGCACAAAUUUUGUGUUUUGCAUAUGCAUAUUAGAUGAGCUGGAGCAGGUACUAAGCCACAAAGCCUUUGGGGCAACACUUUUGAAUGCUUGUUUUAACCUCUUCUAUAUUCACAUUUAUAGAUGUGACCAUAAACGUGGGCAAUCUGGCAUUCCAUUGUAGUGGUUCUGGUGUAUAACUGGUUGACCUGCUGUGACAGAGGCUCGAAUGGAGGAAAUAUUGUCUGUGAAGAAAACUGCAACUUCUUCACAUUUCUCCUGAGAAAAGUUGGUGGGAUAUGUGUCACGUGCGUGGGCUAUAGGCCCAGCCGAGACAGUGGGGAGAGUGUGGAAGUGACAGAGUUAAUGACACCAGACCCCUGGUUACCUAUUGCUAGUCCCAGCAACCACUCAAUUAACCCCUGCAAUCCCUUCUACACUAUCCCCCUUAGUACUACUGCCACCACCAAGACUUUUAAACCCGGGCGUCUUAGGUUACCCCACACACAGGAGAAUUAUAGUAUCACAGUUCUACUUUUACUGAUAAAACAUAUAUAGUUAACCCCUUUUGGUAACGUGUUUACCUGAGCUUUCCUCUGGAGAGUGAAGCUCAUAGAGAACAGAGACACAAGCUGAUUAAGUAAACAUUUAAUCUGACAAAAGGAUUCACAGUGCUGAGUACAAAAUACAGAAAUAAAUGACAUACAGAUAACAAAUUGCAAAACAGUACAUAAAAUAAAAUAGGAGAAAACACAAGAAAUUCCUUACAUAUAUUUACCCCAUAUAGAAUUCUUGUGGGAGUCUUAGAUGGUAUAGAUCUCCUAGAAGUUACUGACAAAAGAAAAAUGAAUAACUGACUUCCCUGGAUAGUCCAACACCCUCAUAUAUCUAAACUAGUUGUUUCUCAGUGGGCAGACCCCUGGGGGGGGAUCAGAGGGGGCUGGUCUGGCAGUCUAUUGCCCACUCUAUGAAAUUCCUUGUGUCCAGCUCUGGUGAUGGCUAUCUAGAUGUUUUAUGGUCUAGGCCUGGUGCAAGAUCAAAGACCACAAUAAAUGUCAUCCCAAGGUUUACAAAAAAACUACUCUUAACAUAUAUAAACACACAUCAAACACCAACUCAUGCUUUUGGCAUGACACCUCCCCCUUAAGAUGGUGGACAGAAAAAUUCAGCCACAGGCUGAUUUAUCUGUCUACCAUUAACCCUCUAGUUGCCGAGACAGGCCAUCUGCCCUUUUUGUGCUGGGCAGUGAAAUUAUACUGUUGGAGGAUAGGGCUCCAAUGGAGCAGUUUAUCAUUGUUACCUGUCACCUGCAGCAGGUUGUGAUCAGUCCAUACCACAGCUACACCCUCAACAAACAUGCCUGAUUUGCCUGUUUCAAUUUCCCAUCGAUCUCUGGUAACAUCCCUUAAACCACACCCACUGCGCUCAUGUAGUAGCUGUAAGGGGAAGAAACCAAUGGAUUUCUGCAGCACUCCCCGGUAAGCACACAAAAAAGCAGACAGAGAACACUCCCAGGAUAGAUGUGCUGUAUCAACACCCAUCAUCUCUUUCAUUUUGCGGUCUGUCUGCUGGGCUUGUUGCACUAUCAGACUCUGAACCUUUGGUUCACAAUCAGAAAGUUGCUUAGGUGUAUGCGUGAGUUGUGAUAAACUGACAAGGUUCCUGGUUCCUCCAACAGUAUGUUUCCCUGCAGCCAUCCUUCCUGGACCCACAGGCUGAGUCUGUCCGUGCCCCUCACUUUCACUCCAGGUCAUCACACAUACCGAACUUUGGAAACUGGCUAAGCCUGCCGCAGAGUAAAGCUCACACACCUUCUGCCCUCCCUCAUAGCCUUGCUGUCCCUUCACAUUUUCACCCAGUGCAUCACAUACAUCUGCUUCAGGCACAUAUUGGCACAUAUUUUCAUUCAGCCCCCUCUCGCUGGAAGGCUUUUCCCAUACAUUUUCACAGGACACAUUUGACCCCCCUUGAUCAGAUACAGAAUUUUGCACACACUCGCAUAAUUUCUUCUCCAAGGCAGGCCAUCCUCUCGCAAUCUCACAUAGCCCCUCAGACUCUGCAGCCGUGACCCACUGCUGACUUGUUACCACUGCUGACUUGUUACCCUGGCUCUCACCUUCCUCCUCUCCCUUACUCUCUGACAUCCCAGCCUCACAGUAUUUUAAUACAGGCACAUCACUACUCACCCCUAUCUCACAUUUGGUAGACAUCACUGGUUCAGUUACAGGUAGAUCUUUAUCCACACCCUGCUCUCCCUCCCAGCAAUCACACUUCACAAUGUCUCCCAAAGUUUCACACAAUACCUUAGGUGGAGCAGUCAGCCCUUCUGGCUCACAAACAGUGUCCGCUGGAGCAUAGUGACAGAGCAUCCUGCCCAAAUCAUUCCCCAACAGAACAUUAACAGGGAUAUCCUCUGAAAUCCCCACUUCCCGCAAACCUUUGCCCACACCCCAAUCAAGGUACACACGUGCCAAGGGCACAGCGGGACGCACACCCCCAAUUCCUUUGAUGGACAUGGUCCUUCCAGGGAUUAUGUCCUCCGUAUUCACCACUUCAGGGCGCACCAGGGUGAAGGAAGCUCCAGAAUCUCUCAGUCCCAUGGUCACUCGGUCACCCACAAUUACACUCUGCAGGUUAUCCUCUCGUUUCCCCACGGACCCACCCACAAGCAAUACUGAUGGUGCCCCUCCACGGACUGGUGAGGGCAUAUUCCUAGUGGGGCAAGUCCUGCUCAGAUGACCAAUCUGGUUGCAUCGAAAACAACGGCGGGCAUCUGACUCACUUGACAUAGCCCCGGCUACGCUGGCAGUCGGCGGUGAAGUUCUCACUGCAGAUCUUACAAGUGGUGUUUGAACUGUAGCUUCUCUCCAGGUCGAAGUAGCAGCUGACACAAGUCCACGCCUGGAUGUGGGUGCAUGGAUGUCGGCAUAGUCAUCUGCCAGUUCUGCAGCAGCCCUAGCAUUUUUUGGCUUUCUUUCCAAAAUCCACUCUCGUACAUUAGGGCUCCGGGUCUGCAAGAACUGCUCCAGGACCAUUAAGUCAUUAAGGGCUUCAUAGGUAGUAGCUUGUAUUCCUGUUACCCAUUGCCGGAACGUGGUUUCUAAUUGUGCAACAUAUAGAAUGCAGCUGGAUGAUGGGCAUUGCUGCAUACUCCUAAAGUUUUUCCUGUAAGACUCAGGAGUAAGGUUAAAAGUUUUUUGCAAUGCAGAUUUGAUUGCCUCAUAGUUGUUAUCAGUCUCUGGGGGAAGGGACACAAACACAUCCAAGGCUUUCCCUUUCAAUUGUGGAGUUAAAUAUCUGCCCCACUGGUCUGAGGGUAGUUGAUGCUGCCUGCAUACUUUCUCAAAACUUUUUAAAAAUACAUCCAAAUCUGUCCCUUCUUCGAGGGAAGGAAAAUCAUCCUUACGGAGCCUACGUGUGCUGGACUCUGAUGCAUUGCUGUUCAGUGAGGACUGAAGGGUAAAUUGCAGUUUAGCAAGUUCCAGCUCAUGUCUCCUUUGUGCCUCCCUUUCUGCAGAUUCCCUUUCUGCAGCCUGCUGUUGGAUCAUCACAUGCAGGGCCUCCUGAGGAUUUGCAGCCAUCAGUUGCCGAAAUAAAUCAGUUGAGCAAAUGUCCUUAAUGUUUUGAGGGGUACAACCACCAGGCAUUUCAGUAAGCAACACUCCUGCAGUAGUAGGGAGCUCGGUAACCCUUUCAGUGUCCGUCUCUGGCUGGAAAAUAUGGCUGUCAGCCUCCACAAGGUCAGCAAUAAGUUGUGCCUUAUUUUUGCCAAAAGUUGGUAAAUUCUUUUCUUGGCACAACAAUUCCAAGGCCUCUUUUGAUUGUUUGCGAUAGGCCUCCAUAUUCACAAAUAGGAUAGAGAAAGAAAAACAAAAGAUGGGAGGGGAGAACUGUUUUGCACUUUGUAUGUAUUUCAAAUCAGCACUGAGCUUGGUCUUUGGAAAUUACACAAAAACAAGUAUGCAAUUUCUUUUAGUGCUAAGACCCCCUUUACAGGUAAAAUCUAGCAAGCACUAAAAAUCUCUAAAUAUAUCCCACUAGCUGCCGCCAGUUUGUCACGUGCGUGGGCUAUAGGCCCAGCCGAGACAGUGGGGAGAGUGUGGAAGUGACAGAGUUAAUGACACCAGACCCCUGGUUACCUGUUGCUAGUCCCAGCAACCACUCAAUUAACCCCUGCAAUCCCUUCUACACUAUCCCCCUUAGUACUACUGCCACCACCAAGACUUUUAAACCCGGGCGUCUUAGGUUACCCCACACACAGGAGAAUUAUAGUAUCACAGUUCUACUUUUACUGAUAAAACAUAUAUAGUUAACCCCUUUUUGGUAACGUGUUUACCUGAGCUUUCCUCUGGAGAGUGAAGCUCAUAGAGAACAGAGACACAAGCUGAUUAAGUAAACAUUUAAUCUGACAAAAAUGGAUUCACAGUGCUGAGUACAAAAUACAGAAAUAAAUGACAUACAGAUAACAAAUUGCAAAACAGUACAUAAAAUAAAAUAGGAGAAAACACAAGAAAUUCCUUACAUAUAUUUACCCCAUAUAGAAUUCUUGUAGGAGUCUUAGAUGGUAUAGCUCCUAGAAGUUACUGACAAAAGAAAAAUGAAUAACUGACUUCCCUGGAUAGUCCAACACCCUCAUAUAUCUAAACUAGUUGUUUCUCAGUGGGCAGACCCCUGGGGGGGAUCAGAGGGGGCUGGUCUGGCAGUCUAUUGCCUACUCUAUGAAAUUCCUUGUGUCCAGCUCUGGUGAUGGCUAUCUAGAUGUUUUAUGGUCUAGGCCUGGUGCAAGAUCAAAGACCACAAUAAAUGUCAUCCCAAGGUUUACAAAAAAACUACUCUUAACAUAUAUAAACACACAUCAAACACCAACUCAUGCUUUUGGCAUGACAAUNNNNNNNNNNNNNNNNNNNNNNNNNNNNNNNNNNNNNNNNNNNNNNNNNNNNNNNNNNNNNNNNNNNNNNNNNNNNNNNNNNNNNNNNNNNNNNNNNNNNGCCCCUACCUGUGUGGUAGUGUGGCCGAGCCCAGUAUAGUCCGACCGGUACAGGAGACAGCUGCUCUCUGUACCGGUCGGACCAAUAGAGGGCUCGGCCACGCUACAGAGAGGGAGUGACAGGAGAGAGCGCUCAGCGCUUCCCUCCUGUCAGNNNNNNNNNNNNNNNNNNNNNNNNNNNNNNNNNNNNNNNNNNNNNNNNNNNNNNNNNNNNNNNNNNNNNNNNNNNNNNNNNNNNNNNNNNNNNNNNNNNNCUGGAUAAAGGAUUGCGUUCUCUAAGGGUAGCCACAUUGGUGGCUUGGGGCGGUUUAGGGCUUCUAGGCCCUGUGCUAGGACUGAUGCUUUGUAGUAAGCCUUUACGUCAGGUGCGCCUAGUCCACCUUUGUUCGGUGAGAGCCAUGUAACUCUGCGUGCCAUUCAUGGGGGUUUUUUCUUCCAGAUGUGGGAGUUGAAAAUGGAUUGGAAUUUCUUGAGGAGCGUGUCUGGUAGCGCAAUAGGAAGGGUGCGGAAUAAAUAUAGUAUAUGUGGCAGCGCCAUCAUUUUGACAGUCUGCACUCUACCCAGCCAAGAGAUUUCCAGUGGUUGCCAUUUGUCCAAUUGUAUUUGUAGUCUGUUCAUUAAGGGUAAGUGGUUUUCGCAUGUGAUUUUAGCGGGAGAAGCGGUCAGGUUGACCCCCAGGUAUUUUAAGGAUGUGUUUCUCCAGUCGAAGGGGUGGAAGCACCUGGGUUUUGUUGGUGUUGUUUUUAUAGUAGGAAACCUGUCCGUAAUGUGUUAGCAGAGACAGCAAUGUCGGGAUGGAUCUUUCAGGGUGUGUGAGGAAAAGCAGGACGUCGUCUGUGAAUAGGGUUAAUUUUUGUGUACCCGCCGGAGUGAUGAGACCCUUUAUCUCUGUGUGUUGUUUGAUGUGGUGGAUGAGCAGUUCCAAACAGAGGAUGAAUAGCAGGGGAGAUAGUGGACAUCCCUGUCUCGUUCCAUUACUUAUUGAGAAUGGCUCUGAUAGAAACCCAGUGUUGAAGACCCUAGCGGAUGGGGCACUGUAUAGUGCCAUAAUGGCCCCCAUGAACGUGUGUGGGAAGCCCAUUUUGUGUAGAGUUGCUUUUAAGUAGACCCAAUUUAACCGGUCGAACGCCUUUUCGGCGUCGAGUCCUAAGACUACCCCCCCUUUGGUUGCUAGAUCUUGCCCAACUGAUCAGGUUUAAGCAGUGCCUCGUAUUAUCCCCUGUCUGUCUACCGGGAACGAACCCCGCUUGUUCUGCCGAUACUAAUUCUGUAAAGAGAGGUUUUAUACGGGAUGCGAGGAGUUUAGCAUAGAGCUUGACGUCCGCAUUAAGGAGUGAGAUAGGCCUCAAAUUCUCGCAUUUAGUAGGCGGUUUGCCUGGUUUGGGUAGUGUGACAAUAUGUGCUUCUAACAUUUCUUUUGGCAUGGUCCCGGUUUCUUUAAUGUCGUUGAAUAAUGAGGUGAGGAUAGGGGUCAAAAUCUGUGCUAACUUAAUGUAAUAGUAGUUUGAGAAACCAUCUGGUCCAGGUGCUUUGUGUUUCGGAAGGGACGCUAUUGCUUUUGAGACCUCCUCUUCUGUGAAUGGUCUAUCUAGGGCAUCUCUUUUCAGUUGCUAUAGGUGUGGGAGCUCGAUAUUGUGAAGGAACCCGUCUAUGGAUUCGAGUGUCGAUUGGGCCACCGCAGGGUCAUCUUUUAAGUUGUACAAUUUGGUGUAAUAUGUGGCUAAUGUGUUCACUAUGUCUGUGGGGUUGUAUAUUUUUAUAUUUUGUUGUGAUUCAAUGUAGGGUAUCUUCGACUGGAGGCGUUGGGUCUUUAGUUUGUUGGCCAAGAGUUUACCCGCUUUGUUUCCUUGUAUGUAGUGUGUUAACCUGAGAGCUCUCAUACUCCUCUCGAUGUUUUGUAGGGAGAGUGCAUUGAGGUCCCUUUGUAAGCGGGCAAUGGUUUUGGAUCAUUUAGUAGAGGGGUUUUGUUUGUUCUCCUUUUCUGCUACAGACAGUGCGAGGGUUAGCCGUGAGACCUCCUCGUUAUGUUUCCUCUUAUUGCGUGAACCAAUUUGUAUUAGCGCACCCUGACAACGGAUUUGUGUGCUGCCCAUUAGGAUUGUAGGGAUACGUCGUCGGUCGCGUUUUCCCUAAAGUAGAGGGUCGCGGUCUUGUGGAUAGUUAGCAAGGCACCGGUAACAUCCAACAGACCUUCAUUUAAUCUCCAUUUACCCCUCCCUCGAACCGGGUAUAAGCUGAUGAAGGUGGCGGUGACUGGGGCGUGAUCUGACCACGUCCUUAAUCCUAGGUCUACUGCAGCUAUGUUUGAUAGGGUCUGUUUGUCAACUAAUAUUAAGUCAAUACGUGAGUAUGUCGAGUGGAUCGGGGAGACGUAAGUAUAGUCUCUACCUGUUGGGUACGUAUUGCGCCAUGUGUCGUAUAAGUCUAGUUCGAAUGCUAGGUCAGAUAGUGAUUUGCAAUUAUUGCGGGCGGCGGAUGUUGGGUUUUUUUUGUGGUCACGCUUGAUGUCUAACAUGGGAUCUAGGCUGCAAUUGAAGUCACCGCAGAUUAUGGUGUGGCCUUGUUUCAUUGUAUCUAAUAUUUUAAGCGCUCUGCUUAGGAAGGUUGCCUGGCCGUCGUUGGGGCAUAUAAUGUUGCUAAUGUUAUGGUGAUGCCGUUAAGUGUGCCUACCAGUAUUAAGAGAUGCCCUGCUGCAUCUGUGUGUGAUACGCUUGGUUGGAAUACCCAAUCUGCGUGAAACAGUAUGGAGACCCCUUUAGAUUUGUUCGGAGAGUACGCGUGGAAGGCUUGGGGGUAGUGGUUGGUAUGGAUGUUAGGAGGGUUGUGGGUGCAAAGGUGGGUUUCUUGUAGGCAUAUCACUGCCGCCCAGGAUUUGUGCAUGUCCCGGAUUGCCAAGCUACGUUUGUGGGGGCUGUUCAAGCCUUUAACGUUCAAAGAGAAAAUCUGGUCGUGGGUUGGUGCGCUUUUGUGCAAGUGUGCGGGGAUUGAAUUUCUUUGUUGGGCUCCGAGGGCCUAAAUGGGCCCCUAUUUACUUUGGGGGCUGAGCGGGGGUGCCUCUGGAGAGUUCUCGGUGGAGACUGUGGCCAAACCAUCCGAGGACCAUGUCCUCGCCUUCUGUACAGUUUGUAUGGGAAAGUCGGUAUGAGUAAAUGUCGGAGUGGGAAGCAGGGAAGGGGAAGGGUAAACAACAGACGAACCCGAAAAACUUGGGAAGAAAAUGUAUUACCUCUGCUCCCAGCAGAGUUUAGCUCCAAAGCCGUGUGAGGGGGGUCCCCACUCUUUUCCGGUGUGGGGGACAUGGUGUGACUUCCACCAGUGUGUGGCCCUUGGUACCCAUUAUCGGCUUUGCAUAGCGCGUGAGGAAUUGCCUGAGUCCUCUGUGUUGCGUGCGUUUUUUUUUUUAGUGGCGUGUCUAACGGCCUACAUGUCGUUGGUUUUAGCAUGAAGCUUUGCUUCUCCUCCCAGUGACCACCUGGGGGACAUGGGGGCUUGAGUCUCGUGUGUUGGGUCGGAACAUGUCGAGUGGUCCCCAUUCCUCUGGGCAUGUUCGGGGGGCGCUAUAUGUGACUCUUUAGUAGUCAGGGCUGCGGCCUCGGCCCCCACGAGUGAUGCCCUCUCUUUCUUAAGUGGUGAAGUAGGUCGCCCCUGGUGGCCUCCCGGGAGUUCCCUGUCAGUUGGGAACAUAUCGCCCCCCCUUCCCUCAUCUGUGCUAACCGGUGUAACGUAAGUGCUGGUUAACAUAAGUUUCAAUCACAAACAUAUAAUGACAACAAUAACAUGUGGUAAGCUUCAUGUAGGCUCAUUAAAAUCGGAAAGCGGUGCUUUUGCGGCUAGUACUCUGUCCCAGCUGACCGCUCAGACAUUGAUUGUGAUUGGGGAGUAAGAGGGUUUUCUACCAUGGGGGAUGAUUUCUAGCAGAUAUGGGCGAAUUAGCAGUAAGAGUGGCAGUACUGACACUUGGUGUCUACUAGAUAUUCCAUAGCAGGCCUGGAAGCCUAACGUGGGCUAGAGGAUCUGCGGGGCUGUUGGCUGUAUGGGCCGGUUGUUAAAUGUACCUGUCUCCCCUGGGGUCGUCCCGGGGAUUCCCUGCGGGCCUGGGACAUAUUAGCCUCCCUUUGCCCACGUCAGUACCGACGGCCAGCUCUUCGAGUUUUAGCUAGUGUUAGUGGUCAUCACAGACAUAAAGUAUUAGCUGUUGGCCGGUACCUUGUAUCAGGUAGGCACAGAGUUGUCGUUGAGUAGUACAUCUGGGGAUUGGCGUUCUGGGCCUAACGGCCGCUUUAACGGUGGCGGAGGCUGGGGCGAGUGGGGAUUAUGCGCCCUGGGGGAUAACUCCCUGCGGUUGUGGGAAAAUUAGCUAAAGCUGGAACGCUUCGCUCAACGGUGUGUACCCCACGUUACUCCGGGCUGGGCUUAGAAGUAUGAGCGUGGGCGGAGGGCCCUUGCACUUAUUAAACAUAUCAGCCUAUUCUGUUGUAGAGACCCUUCUAAUAACAAAUAGUCUAUACAUUUACACCUUCUCGCCUAGUGCAAUACAAUAACAUUGAACGUAUAUCUAACACAUGUGAUACUCAAAUGUCUGGCGAUGAGGUGUUUCAGUCCCGAGAAAGAGGGGCUGCAAGGGCGCCAGCCAUCCUCCACUCCAGCAGGAUUUUCGUUGGAUAGGCGCAAGCAGGGAAGGCCUGACCCUGGGUAUGAUGUAGGCCCCAUUCCUUCAGCUUUGCCAUGCCUACCUCCAGUUCCAGAAUUGGUACAGUUCUGUCUUGGUACCACACCAGCAAUUUUGUUGGGUACCCCCAGCGGUAUGGGAUAUUGUUGUUCCAGAAAGUUUUUGUCACAUCUACGAAUUCCCUCCUCCUCGCCAUUGUCGUCGCGGAGAGGUCAGCGUAAAUUUGAAUGAGUUGAUAAGGUUCUGGCAGUUUGGUGAGUUUCCUUGCUGCAUUAAGGAGUUGCUCCUUCGCUUUGUAAUAAUGGAAACGUGCUAUGGUGUCCUUGGGGGUGUCUGCGGUAAAUCGGCCAGUCUUGGGAGCCUGUGUGCUCGAUCGAACUCCCAUGCAGUAACUUCAAUUUGCGGUGCCAGAGCCUUGCAGAGGGCUGUAAGAUAUUGAGGUAGCGCCUCGUUGGUGAUUGUGUCAGCUAUGCCCCUGAAUCUCAAGUUGUUACGGCGGGAGCGAUCGUCUAUGUCCGCUAGUUUGUGUUUCAAAACCGUUUGUUCCUCCUCCAGCCUUUGUAGUUUGUCGACCCCAUCAUUAUGGGCAGCGCAGAGUUCUUCAGUUUUAGUUUCGAGGUGGCUAGUACGGCCUCCUAUGUCUGCGAUGUCUUUUCUCAGCUCGUUUGUGAGCUGGCGCAAAUCUGAGCGGAGUGAUGACUUCAGGGUCUGAAGCAUAGUAUGUAGGCUUUUGUUUGUGACAGGCAUAUCGUCUAUUGCCUGCAGUUCACAUUCGUGGUCCGUGUUGCAUUCUGGCGAUGGCAGAUGGUCCACGUGGCCGUCGCCAUCUUGUGUCAGCCGUGACUUAUCUUUUUUGCCAUUGCGUACCAGGUCAGUUAGCUUGGUCUGUUUAGAAGGUGCCAUGUCGCUCUUUAGGGUAAUCCCUGCUCGUUAUCGGGGUCUGCUGUAAAUUUUUAGAUGCUCAUUUGUUGCUUUGGGCCUGGUGGAGUACGGAGCAAUCACUGCAUGCGACUGCUUCUCUCGGCAGUCGGCCACGCCCCCUAGACUUGACUUUUAAUAUCCAUUUAUAUGUAUUCAGUACAGGGAGAAUGAUCUACUUAUGUUCCACUUCUAGAUUUUUUCUUUUUCCUCUUUGCUAAGUUAAACUCUCCAUAUUUUUGUUUGUUUUGGACUUAAAAAGCAUAGAAGUUAAAAUUAUUUGUUAUGUAUAUAUAUAUAUAUAUAUAUAUAUAUAUAUAUAUAUAUAUAUAUAGAGAGAGAGAGAGAGAGAGAGAGAGAGAGAGAGAGAGAGAGAGAGAGAGAGAGAGAGAGAGAGAUUGCAUAAUCAUAGACACGGAUUACUUUUAAUUUUCCUUUUGUUUUGGCUUCAACACUUAUUCAACAUUCAUAUAGAAACUUAAGACUUAUCUUUUGAGACACUAUUACUUUUUUUCCCCGACCACAAAUUUUGUAUAAAGCUAACAUGCGUCAAGACAUAUACCAGAAAUCUUUAACACCUUUAUAUUUGAGUAAACAUUUGGUGGAAACCAACAAGAAUAAGUAAUAGUAUUUUAUGUUACUGUUUUGUAGUGUAUAAGGGCUUCAGAGAAGGAUCUGUGUGUAGGAUGCAGGCAAUGAGAAAGAUUACAUAGUAAGAAGUUAUCAGACUCUUUAUAUUAAACAAACAAGUAAUGAAAGCUCAUUAAUACUGCAGUAAAAUCCCAUCAGUAAAUCUAGUAUUCAGUGCAAUGCCUACAGAGAACAAGAAUGCAAAGCCUCCAUGAUUACAAAGAAUGAAUUUUGACACAGCUGGGCAACUGAGGCUGGCUCUAAAAUUAGAAAGUUAUUCAGAAUCAAAUAAGGUCCUCAAGGAAAGCAAACCAACUUACUCCAGCCACCUGCCAGACACUCUGCAAUAAAGUAGUUUACAAAGUACACUUAAAGCGGUUUUGACACUUCUGAGUAUUUUAUAGUUACAAUCUUUACGAAAUACCCAUAUUGAUUGCAUUGGAAUUGCAUUGAAAUUUUAAUGCAAUUAAAAGAUCUCAUUAGGCAAAACAAUACUUUCUCUGCUGAUACAUGCCUAUGUUAAAAUAUGACAAAAACUGAGUUUCUACUGUCAAGUUUUGUCAUCUCCCACAUCAGUCAUUGUAAGUUCUAGAUUUCUGUGUUGCACAAGAGUAUGGCAGUGACGUGCAAUUUAUUCAAAGAUCCUUAAUAGUGACAGAGUUGCUUUCAAAUCCUUUUGUGACUAGGGCAUUCACCAACUGACUAGUAAAGUAAAAAAUUAGAGCUCAAUUCACUCCAGAGCCAAAAUGACCAUGAUUAUGACAUUACAAUUCUGCUAAUUUAUCGGUGUAUUUAAAAAAUAAGAGGCUCUCCUAUCACUUCUGCUGUAGCUGAACAAUGAUAGCCUUAGAACGCUGGGUGUCAAAAUGCUCAACAAGGCUACCCUUUGAGUGUUGCAAGUGAGGGAGAGCCAUCCGCCCAGUUAUAUGAACUGUGAUUACACAGAGGUGCAUUUCCCACAAGGUUACUGGGCCAUUGCCUCAAGACAGCAUUCAGUUAUCCCUUACCAACCAACCCAAGCAUGUGGUCUUCACCCCCAGGAGGCUUAGAACACAUGUAAUGCUCCCAUAAACGUCGCAAGGUGUUAUGAUGGCAUCACUACACGGGAAUGAGCAAUACCAGUAGUCUGCAACUACUGAAGUUGCAGACCAGAUAAUGUACACAUUGGACCAGCAAGAACUAGUAUUUCCUUCUAGCUGGUCCAAGGUCGGCAAGACAGAGCGGGGAAUAAACUAAAGUUUUGUUUUUAAAAUAUCUUCCAACCCCACAAACAUACCCUACAGCCUUUAUCCUUCCAAACAUUCUCUACAAUUCUUGUUCCUCCACACAUCCUACUGCCUCAAUUCCUCCCACACAAACACUACACCUCACAUCCCCCCUAAACACAAACACUAUAGCGCAUAGUACAGCCCUAAUUCACAUGCACACAAACAGUAGUGUGAAUGUGAACAGGGGGCUGGAGGGAGUUUGCUUUGGGGGGAAGGCCAUGCACAGAACACUACUCUCUAACCCUAGCAGGCACUAGUGUACCUGCACAUUGUUGAUGGGGCUUUCGUAGGGCUGAUGCCUGCUCUAGUGCUGUAGUAAUUGGUUGUGGCAAGGAGGCUCCUGGGAUCUCUGUAGUCUUGUGGUGUCCAGCUCCCCUGUGCACCCUGUACAGAUGCUGCAGCCAGGAUGUGACAUCACCUGAGCCCUGGCAUCAAUACAGAGCUACAAGGAGUUUGGUAGCAAUAAUAAUCAAAGAGAUCCCAGGAGAAAACCACCAGAUUCUACAUGUCAAGUUAAGAAAAGGGGAGGCUGUGUGGAACCCACUGUAAAAAAUAAAUAAAUACAUUUAAAUGGUGUAUAUGUUUCUAUGUGUCUUUGUAUAGGAAUGUGUGUAAACAUGCAUAUAUGAGUCUGUGUGUAAAUGAAUGUAUAUCUCAAUGUGUGUUUGUGAAUGUGCUGGAUAUAUGUACAUAAAUGUGUAUCUGUAUGUUUAUAUGGGAAUGUAUAUAUGUGUGAAUAUGAAUGAGAGUAUGUGCGUGUAAUUUCCUUAAAAUGGGGUGGGGAGGGUGCAAACAGCAGUCUGCUGGAAUGUUUCUGUGAUUGUGAUUUGUUGAGAAUUAAUAAGAGAAUUAUAUAUUUUAGAACUAAGCUAAGAAAAUAUGUAAAAUGCUGCAUCUUCAAGGCAGCUUUCUCAGAGUUGUCAAUUGAAUGUUAAAGGUUUCCUGUGAAAAAUAUGUAGUAUUUACACGAAUAAACAUGAAUAUACGAAUAAAACAUUAAACAAGAAAAUGUAAUUAAUCAUCUUGAAUAUUUUGUCUCUGCAGGACAUCCAAAAUCUUUUCAUUUUCAACUUGUUAGAUUUGCUGCUGUAAUUGGUGUUUUCCUGAUCUUUUUUGUAAUCAUCAAGAUUGGUAAGUGUUAGUAGAUUAAUGUUUCUGAAAACCUGAAUAUUUUCUUUCUAAAACCAAUCUACUAAGAAGAAUACAUUUUUUUUUUUUAUGGAAAAGAAUGUUGUAAAUCUGAAUUUGUUUAUACUAGAGAUAGGUGGUUGUAAAUAAUUGUUCUAAUUACAUAAACUAGUUGUGUGACAGAACACCCCAUCACUUGUUUUAUUCUUCUCCUGCCAAACUAACUUGGUUCCCCUUCCGUUCGCUUUUCUGUACCCCAUUGUUCGUUUCCCAAACUGAGAAAUGCGUUCCCCUUUUAUACCCCACGAACCCAGACAACACCCUGGCUCAUUAUCAUCAAAGGAAGUCAUUAACUUGAGUGCGCUCUCUGGUCAAAUGACCGACACAUGCUUUAUGGGAUGACGGCCAAACAAAGGCAGCGGUACUUUGUCGUCGAGCACCUGGAACUGAUUUUGGCUACUCCAACUCGCGAACACUGGUGAACUUGUACCACCACCUGUUCCUCACUCAUGCCAAGCCAGAAGAGCACUCUUCCGGGAAAAUAUUAAUUCAUUCGCUCGCUAAGAGCCAGGGGGAGUCUUCGGUCUGAUUCACACAGGAACUCCCGAAAGUUGACCGACUGAGGCCUCUUUCAACCUGGAACUGUUUUGGGCUGCAAACUUGUGGCCGGCCGGUCAGGACUAUAUGGCAAUUUCUUUUCACUGAACUGAUCUGAGUAUUAUUUGGACAACUUGGGCGCUUAGAUCCGAACUAUCCGGGGAUAUAUCAUUUGUGGGGUUCCUGUGAAAGUUGGAUGUGAUUUUGGGGUGUUUUUCUAUAUUUUAUGUAUGGUUCCCUGUAACUGAGAGAUAAUUGAGUUACCAACCUUUGACUCAAUUAUCUCCCAUACACAGGGACAUCUGGUAGGAGCUUGUGUUCUUUUCUAUGGAUACCCCAUGCUCAAGGUCUGUGUAUAAAUUCUGUGUACCCAUACUGAAUAAAACCAGAUAUACUCCUAGCAUUAAGUCUCGACUAAUGUUUGGGAUAGACCAGAGCUGCGAGGGAGAGCAAGGAGGCAGUGAGGAUGGGCCAGGCCGGAAGUGCUAGAUCCUAACUCCCAGCAUGUCCACUGGACCCCAGGGAAGCCACCCUCCUGCAAAAUGUAAGGAAAUUGGAGGGUGGCUGUAUUAAACUGGUGGGCAGCUGUAUUAAACUGGAGGGUGGGUUUAUUAAACUGGAGGGUGGGUAAGUGUAAAUCUUGCAUGUGUGUGUCAGUAUUGCUGUCUGGGUGCAUGCCUGUGUGUAUGCCUGUGUGUGUCAGCAUGUCUGUCUGUGUGUGUGCCUGUGUGUCUUUCUUUGUGUCUGUAUGUCUGUCAGUUUGGUUCUGUGUGUCAGUAUGUCUCUUAGUGUCUGUCAGUAUGUUUGUCAGUGUGUGUCAGUAUGUCUGUCAGUGUGUGUCAGUAUGUCUGUGCCAGUAAGUCUGCCAGUGUGUGUGACAGUAUGUCUUUCAGUUUGUGUCUGUGUGUUUGUAUUUCUGUCAGUAUGUCUGUGUGCGUGCAGUAUGUCUUUCAGUGUGUCACGGCUUACCUUGGUUGCAGUCUGUAGCGCAGAUAUGUUCGCUCACCCUUGCAAAUAAACAUGGUACAAGGUGAACAGAUAAGAAGCCACCUGGACUGUGAAUCUGUGCACAGGCGCUGUGCAGGAAAGGUGCUCCAAUAUGCAGUACAGACAAGGUCACAACAGAAGGAUAGUCACGGGUAAGCUGAAGUCAGAGGAAGCCAGAGGUCAGGAUAAACGGAGAGUGGAGCCAAGGUCAAAAGCCGGGGUCAAUCUUGAGAACAAGUUCAGGAGACAAGAAAACAGGAACUACACACGAUCACCAGAGUCAAAGAACUGACUGUUCCAAGGGCGAGGCAGUGCUUAAAUACCCGGUUGAUGAGCGAUCUGCCUCAGGUGAAGCACAGGUAAUAGCCACAGAAGAAGUCCAGCCCCCAGUGCUGCAGACAUAGCCAGGUAUAACAAGGAUAUAAUUACUCAAAAUAACAAAAUCUGCUGUGACUUAGAGGCAGUAUAGCAGGCCCAGGACAUGAAGGACCCAGGAUCAAAUCACCUGUGUGGCGACCACGACUGACCGUCUGGAUUUCACGGUGAGAACGGUCACACAGUGUGUGUCUAUGUGUUACUGUAUGUCAGUAUAUGCAUAUGUGCCUUUGUAUCUGCACGUGAUAAAGAUUGUGUGUAUUUGCAUUCAAGCUUCAACACUACAUAAAAGCACACUCCUUCAUUGAAACGUCAACACUACAUACAAACAUGCCUUUGUGUUAAACACCAAAAUUAUAUAUAAACACACCCCUUCAUUCAAAAACAAACACUACUCAGAAAUGCAUUGUAGCAUUCACAUACUAAAAAAACACACCCCUCCAUUCUCACAAACAUACCCCAUACAAAAAUAUGCUUACAUUAAAACACAUAAACACUGCUCAGUGCUAAAUACAACUGUGCAAGCAGGCAAAUGGUAGAGCUCCAUCUACCUUUUGAUAGAAAGGCCCAAACAAAUGUUUGCACAGGGGGGCCCUCUCUACUUUAGUUCCACCACCGCAUUGGGGUAAAGGGUGUGAUUGCAUGCCAGGGAGGGGGGAGGGGGCUCAGGGUCCAGGGGGCCCUAGCAGGCGGAGAAGGAACAUCAUAGUCAACCCUAGGCUAAUAGGAAGUCAUUAUUUUCUAAACCUUCCAUGUAGAGAAUGUUGACUUGGGAUGUUGGUAAUAUCAGCCCCACCCUAGCCAAAUGAGAAGGAGUAAUAAGCAUAAAUUGUGGCUUGGAGCAGGCACAGAUUGGACCCGGGGGCCACACAUUGUCCAUUGGUCAAAGCUAACAGGGGAGAUCAGGGGCUUGAAUAGCACUGCUAUGUUCCAUGAGGGCUGGUGGGGAGAUCAAAGUAUUUAAAUCUGGCAGGGGGAAGGAUCCGGGGGCUCUUGCCUGUAGCUCUGCCAUCAUUUUCCUUUUGCAAGCUUGAAGCGUUGCUGCGUUUGUCACGGCUGUGAUCUGACAAAGCACAAUGCCAGAUCUUGCAAGAGUGAACUCCAUCAAUAGUAGCAGCAGGCUAGACUUUACUAAGCACCACCAGUGCUUGCAAUAUCCCCUCCGAAGCCAAAGGUAAGAAGGGAGAGGGCAUAUAUAGUUUAUUUAUAAUUAAAAUAAAUAAAAAUUUUGCUUUGCUCCCACCUAACCACCCCCCACACACAUUGCAGCCCCCUAUGCACACACAUUGCACAUUACAUACACAUUGCACCCUCACAUACACAUUGCAACCCUCUCACACACACACUGCAUCCAUCACACACACUUCACCCUUCACAGACACAUUGCCACCCUCACACACACACUGCACCCCUCACACACACAUUGUAAGACACACACACACACACACACACACAUACACAUUGCACCUCCACACACAUUGCACCCCUCACACACACUGCAUGCCACACACAUAUUGCAUCUCUCACACAAACUGAAUCCCUCACACACAUUGAACCCCUCACUCACACACUGCACCAUCACACAGAAACACACACUGCAUCCCACACACACACACACACACACACACACACAGUGGACCCCUAUACACUAGAUCCCAUAUGUACACUCUAUCCCUUAUACACACACUAUACCACUUACACACAGUUCAUUCCAUACACACACUACAUCCCUUAUACACACUCUGGAUUCCCUACACACACUCUGGAUCCUCUACACAAACACACACUAGAUCCCCUAUACACACUGCAUCAUGUAUACACACAUACACUACAGCCUCUAAGCACACACUUUCUACAUCCCACUGGUUGCCUGUCAAGCCUCUUCUGGGAUAUGGAGCGUCCAUGAGCCCCACUGAGCUAAACCCUGCUGUGCAGGGCUGGCUCAUUGGCUUAGAGUGUCAUCUGAGAAAACGGUUGGACUACUUACCAUGGCAGGAUGCUAUAGAACACUUGGCACGAUAACCACUAUAGCAAGCUCUAUUGGUUGUGGUGUUUUUUGUGUUCUUUUAAAUAAUAUUAUAGUAAAUGGUCUUACUGUAGUUGCAUCCAUGUGAUACAAUUUAAAGACCAGCAAAACACUGAUUGUCAGGUUCCAAUAUAAACACAAAAAUACAUUUAUUUACUAUUAAACUAAAGUAACUUGAAAGUUGCAUGAAAAAUAAUAAAAAUACUUUCAAUUGUCCCAAAUCAAGUCUACUAUCCUUGAUAAUUGGUGAAUCUAACAAUUAUUUACACUAAAGGUUAUUAAAAAAAAAAAUGGUAACCUAUAAACAUAUCAGACUCAUACAAAGUGGCAUUACUUUGUUUCAGCCACUAGAGGUCAUAGGAAGACAACAAUAGGAAGACAGCUAUAGCAAUACAAACUCGAUAAACGAUAAACUAACAGGGUUAUUUACUAAACACCUGAUUUUGUACUAAUGGAGACAAUCCGGUGAAAAUAACCAAAUUCCACCUGCAUUAGCAAUUCUAAUGUUUACUAUGUGGUCAGAAUUCGGUUGGCCCAAGAGAAUCUGUAGCAAUUUCCCAUAUACAUUCGCUGUCUGAAUUAAAAUUGGUGCUUUUGCAAGAAUAAUUUGAAGUACUAUCUGCCUGCUGGCAGCCAACUGACAAACAGUUAAAAAUAAUUCUUGGCUUGGCAAAGCCAGCUGCCACAUUAAAAAAUAAAAUAAAAAAUAAAUAACAAGGCUAUGGGGGUCAAUAAGACUAAGGCUAAAACAAAAAUGGAGGUUAAACAACUCUCUAUGCCCCUCCCUCUCCCCCCUAUCCCCCCCCGCCAUACUUUUUUAAGACUUGACAUUAGGUCUUUCCACUUUAAUAUUAAUAUUGGACACCAUCCUGUCGCCCAUAGGUGGGGGCAAGUGAGGACCUUAGAUCCUCCACUCUGGUUAUUAUAAAAGCCUCCACCUGCUAACAUAGGAUGUCCCCCACCCAGGGCCAGUACAAGACUAUUUUUCUAUCAAGGCAAGACUAGCUACUUUCACCCCUCCACCCAAAACAAAAAUUGCAAAUUUUCUGUGUCUCUUUCUUCCCCCAGCCCCUCUUUUUGUCUUUUUCCCUCAAUCCCCCUUGUGUGUCUCUUUCUCCCCCCAGCUCCUUUGUGUCUCUCUCCCCAGACACUUUGUGUGUCUUUCUCCCACCAGCCCCUUGUGUGGCUCAUUGUUCCCUCAGCACCUCUGUGUGUCUUUGUCCCCCAAUCUCCUUGUUUGUCUCUUUUCCACUUCCCCAAACCCUCUGUGUGUCUCUUUACGAGCACCUCUGUGGGUCUCUUACUCCCCCAGGACCUCUGUGUGUCUCUUUGUCCCAGACCCUUUGUGUCUCUUUCUCCUCCAGUCCCCUUUUUGUGUUCCUCUUCUUGUCUGUACCCCUUUGUGUGUCUCUUUGUCCCCCUGUCCUUUUGUGGUCGCUCCCUCCAUCCCUUUGUGGUCUUCCCCAGUCCCUUUGUGGUCUCCCCACACCUCUUUGGGGUCUCUCCCCGUCUGUACCAACUCACCUCCCUCCAAUAUCAGGACACCAACCUGUCGCCCAUAGGUGGUGCAGGUGAGGACCUUAGAUCCUCCACGCUGGUUAUUAUAAAAGCUUUCACCUGCUAACACAGGAUGUCCCCCACCCAGGGCCAGUACAAGCCUAUUUUGCGAUGACGGCAAGACCAGCUACUUUCACCCCCCCCCACCCAUGGAAAAGUCACAGACCACAGUGGAUGAUCUUCUAUUUCCUCUACCUAGUCUGCAUCGACAAGUUACAGACCACAAUGGAGGAGCUUCUGUUUUCUCUACCUAGUCUGAUAGGAAGCUGCUCUUUGCUCUCAGUGAACAUUUGUCACUGUCUGAACGGGUAGAGAAGCUCCUCUACCGCAGUCCGUGAUUCAGCCAUGCUACAUACACUCUAAGUGACUACCUAGUUCACCUAGCAGUUGCCUGGCCUUGCCCUUACACCCAUUUUGACAUGUUCCCACCAGUUUGCCAAGUCAUGGGACAGGGGGUGGUCAGUAAUCUGUCCACCCCUAUUACAUAUUUAAAACUCCACCACCUGAUGCCCACUGGGUGGGCUAUGUCCCUCCCUGUUAUUUUUACUGACUAAGCAGCAGUGGUGGUGUUGCCAGCGGGCAAAUAGUUCAGAUUUUUUUUUAAUCCAGGCCCAGAUUUAAAGUUUGAGGACUUAAUUAAUUUGGUUCGGAUUUCAGCCGACCAGCGGCGUUUGGUCUGACUGAAAUCUAGACCAAAUUCAGGUCCAAAUUUGGACACUGUUAUAUUGCAUUAACAACAUCUACAUCAUUCCAGCAGCAUUUUGAACACUGGUCGCUCUAAACCGGCGUAAUUUAAUAACGCUGAAAUGCCUUCAUUAUUCCUGCGUCAAAACCAAUGACAGAAAUUAGUAUAUUCCUGAGACUCCCUCAAGUGCUUAAAUAUCAAGAUCCAUAUAUAAUACAGAAUGCACACUAUAACAACCACAAUGGUCAAGUUCAAAACUUUAAUAAGUAGGUAAAUUACAAUAAAUAACAAAAAAUAUAAAUAAAGUAACAGAAAAAGAGGCAAAUAGUAAUCAAAAGUAAUAUACCCAAAUCUUUUAAGCUUCAAGGCAGAAACACAAGUCACCAACUCCCCUCAAUGUUUCAGCACCAACUGGUUGCCUUUAUCAAGGGUAUGUCAGAGAACGUGUUACCAUUGUUCUGAUUUCUGGUUUACUGACUUUGGCUUGAUCUUGACUACUCUCCUUUCUGUAAUCCUUGACCCUGGCUUGGUUUAUCAUUAUUGCUACUUACUUCGAUCCCAGACCACAGUUAUUUCUUGACUUUGCUAUUACCUCUUUACUACUUUUCUAGAUUUGCAUCUAGCCUGGCCAAUUCUAAGUAAUGCCAAUAUGUCCUUUCUCUUUUCUACCUUAGCUAAGUAUGACCUGCAUGUUGGGCCUAGUAUUAUUCUGACAUAAAAGACUAAUUCUUUUGAGUUUUAUAGUCUAGUAUUUAUAAUAAUAAGCAGAUUAGGAUUUCAUUUUUAGAAUAAUAACUUUUCAGAUUAUUUUAAUAGGAUUAAAACAAUCGGGUCGGGGGGCGGGGCCUAACCGCAGAGCUGUGCAGACGCUCAUCUCAGAAGCUCCUGCUAAACCGGGCACUUAAUGCUAAUAUUAACUGCCAUACAGGCACUUAAUUGUGACCCCAAAGCUACCACUCGAGAGAGGACACCGAGGUGCAGAGAUCGGUACCUCUCAAGCAACGAACCGAGCACACAAUGAGGCCUACAAGCAUGGCAGGCGCAGGGGAGGCGGCCGAUCCCCAGCAGCAAGGCCACGCCGGAAAGCUGACUGCAAGCCCUCGCCCCCCCCCCCUCUGGACCGGUGGGGGUCAUCCCGGUCCACCCCCAAACGACUACUGGGCGAAGCAAUGGGCCAAUACAGGCUCCGUGGAGCCCAAAAGCUACCGUCCCUGCGACCACCAAGAUGGCGGAAGCCUUUCGCAUCGCCGACACGUCUAACACAUGGCGGGAAACUGAGAUGCGACUAAACAGUAUAUUCACUGCUUUCUGGGAGUCCCUAGAAGCCCACAUGAGGGGCUCGGAGCCUGAAGAGAUCCCCAGACUUCGCCACAGGGUACUCCACAAGACGCCAGACGGGGAAAAACAGCAGCGUAACCCCAACGGCAGACGCAGCAAAAGGAUGACACUUACCCAAACCAGCAGGGGCAGAGGCAGGACACACAACCCAAAAAAGAGGAUGCUGGAAGGCGGCGGGUGGUCAAACACCGGCAUCUCCAAGGCAAGGCGGGGAAGCGGAGGGAACCGCCGAAGACAAGCACAAGACCACCCCAAACAAGGCAGGUGAAGCUACACUCAGCACCCACAGCAACUCAGAACAGCCCAGGGGUUCUUAGCACCCACACGCCAAGGAGAUCGCACCAGCUGCACCACCUACAGCAGGGGGUACCCACCCAGCCCCGUCAAGGCAUCGGCUGACCCCAAAGGGACUGAGACUCUAACCCAGAUAGUAUCAUCAGACACAUAACUGUUUUUGCCCCACUGGAACUCACACGAAUGUCUGAUGACAUAUAUCACUUAUUUCGUUUCCUUACUAUGUUCAGUUUUGCUCCUUAAAAAUCCCAUCACUCGCAGCCAAAAUGGAGGUCUGCAUAUUAAGCUAAGAUGCUAAUGUAGCUAGGGGGUUUUACUUUUUACUUUUAACUUUUACUUUUCAAAUCAGUGUUUUCACCUUAUGCUCCACACAGUUAACCCUCUAGCACUGUACUUAUCUAGUUUGUAUACUUUUCAUAAAAUGCGCAGAUUAAGCCAACAAGUUCAACUGCAAUUUGUAAUCAAUAGUAGUCUAUGCUUUGUUUGAGCAUCUAUAUUCAAAAAAUGUGCACUACUUUAAAUGCCAUAAUUCUAAAAUCAAUGUGUUAUGACCACGCUUAUGUAUGUUAUUGUGGCAGAGUAAGCCGCUAUGUUAACUCUUGCACGCAAAAAAUAAAGAAUUUAAAAAAAAACAAUCGGGUCAAGUUAUUUUUCUGUAUUGUUUAUAACAUUGUUCUGUGAAGAAGAGACUUGCUUCUCUGCAGACACAAAUUCACACUUUUGAAAACUGAAAAUAUAAUCAUCUGUGAUAUCUUUAAGAUCACUGAUGGUCAACCCAUAUCCUGUGUGCACUUGUGGUCGGCUUGACCCUUAAAUAUGGCCCAUGAAAACAACCGUCAAAUAUAUACUAAUAGUGCGGUGUAGUAACUUGUCAUUGAGAGCUGAGCUGCUGUAACUGGAAAAGCUCACGUAAAUAUAUUUUAGAGACUAACAUUUAGGCAGUAAGUCAUAGCACUUCUUAUACUUGGCUAAUCCAAACACCUCACCAAGGCACCUCUGGUUAUCUAAUAACAUCUGGUUUUACUGUAUAUCUCCGGUCCGGAGUCCUUGUAAGGUCUGGUAUGCAUCCUUCAGAUGCCUCGCUGAAUCAUUUUUGAUCAUGUAAUAACACCUAUACUGAUCAGGUUAUUUUAGUCAUUAGGCUAAAAAGCACUUUCCUUUAAGAGUUGUCUAUCACUCUCGAAACCAACCACUUCUGGCGUCCCGCACGGAUCACAUCAGGCAUAACAGCUAAGAUAUACAUGACUGUACCUGUUUAUAGUAGACUCUGCAAACUUAGCAACCAUGUUUUCCUUUUCUUAUCGUUCUUUUCAGUUGUUAGUAUUGUUUUUCUUAAAAGUAUAACUCCUGUGGGUACAUUGCUACAAGGGUUCAACUUACCACCACAGAACCCCUUAAAGAAUCCCCGCACAAAAUGGCCACCACGCAGCAGCGGACAGGACCAUCUAACAUAAGUCCAGCCCUACCUCCCAGAAGUAUAGAUACCCCGGUAACCACCAGCCCCAAGAGGACACUAGCGUAAAUGGCCAACCCUGACUGCUAAUUCAGACAGCCCCUUACCCCCACCACCACCCAGACCACGAUUACCUAGGACCGCACCAUGCAAAGCAGGCUCGGACAGCACUAAGCAUCAUAAUAUACGAGCAAUACCCACUAGGGAUAACCUCGUAAUAAUACCAAACGGGCAACACACUGGAGUAACCCGAUCCCCCGCCUCCACCUGACUUUAAACUCGCACACACGGUACCAUAACCACUGUGAGAGCACACACGUGGACCAGAACUGGAAACAUAGCAUGGAUCGGCUGCCCCACGACCCUCUAUCCUGGUCACAAAAAAGCAUACUGAACUACACAUAAGUUUAUGCUACAUGGGAGACCCCCACAACACCAGGCCACCUAGCCAGUAAACGCCAACAAUCAUGAAGGCGAAUGGCUACACAAUCAGGGGCAAAGGGCUGAAAUUAUUAACUCUUGUUUAAAAAUUCUUUAAUGUUUUAUAUGUAUGGUUUAAUAUAAAGCAGAAUGCCAUAUGUUACAAAAUGUUAUGUUAUGCAUAUGCAACCCACAACACCACCCCACUACUGACCCCUCCCCAACUCUAAACGGACCCAGAGAUACCCAAGGCUACAACCAGAACACCGGCUCAACCCUGAAGGGUCGGCCCGUAGACAAACACCAACAGAUCGACCAGGCCCAUCGAAAUGCCCAGCGGACCCUAACAAAGCACACCUUACAGGCUGUUACGGUUGCCUCCGGUCUUGCGGGAGGUUGGACCGAUUGGAUGUCCUGGUUCCCAAACUUGAAGAGUCGAACGCUGCUUCAAUCGGCAAAAACCUGCAGGUGUAGAACAUCCAACUAGCUAUAGCAGAGCUAGGAUUCACAGUUUCCUACAACACGAGUCGAGGCUGCGAGUUGAGGGUAAAACGAACUGACUUUUAAUGGCACACAGGCAUCACUAGUUAUGCAAAAUCCCAGGUCCAGGGACAACCCCCUCUGGACCUGAUGGGAUACAGUGAAAAUACGAGCAGUUGACCAAUAGUAAUACAAUGUAUCCUUUAAAAUUGUUACGGCCCAGCUUAGAGAUAAUGAGUCCAAUGGUUGGGACAAUGUAAUUAUCUCCAAGCGCCCAAAAUCCCACGUUUUAUUACAACAUAUAAAACUGAAUAAAAUUACAUAACUUUAUUACUUUAACAGACAUAUUUCCAAUUCCACCAUUCAUUAUGUAGCCCAGUUCUGAGCGCAGCAGAUGGACGAAUAACACUCAGAACUCACGAAUGAUAUGGCUAGUUUCGUGUUUUGUUCCGAACACAAGAUGGCGGCCAUGUUUUUAGGUUGACAGGUGGACAGUGGGACAUGGACCUAAAACCCCUGGAAAGAGUAACGGCUGAACAAUUACACGAAUACCGCUCACAGGCUGGUUGUCUUAUCUCUUCGUAAACCUGAACGGAGACCGCCAUGAAAGGGGGUACUUAACUUGCGGUUAACCGCAGCUUCAACGUUCUAAUUGAGAACACACACCAGGAUGCGGGUGGGCCUCGUUCGGAAGUCUUUCAUGAGUUCAGUUCGGUGAAUUAUUACAUGAACUAGGCCACCCGGAGAUAAUCAAUUAUGCUUGUGGUUAACCGCAGACCGCAACUUUCCGGCGGUCAAUUAGCGGCACGCUGCGCUCGUGGGGUGGUCGGUUGUUUGGUACUUUCAAAGAUGACCGGGGUUAAGUGGCGGCACACGCCAAGGGCUGGGUGGUCCGUCAUUCGUAUACACGAAUAAAUAGUUAUAACUGGUCGUGGAAUGUGUUCGUACAGUCUGAAUACCGAACAGGGUAUUGGGGAACAAAAGGGAGUACUUAUGUAACAGUUUGUAGGGUUCUUGUAACACAGACAUACUCCAACACACGACUGAUAGUGGGAGAGGACUGCAACACAGUAAACACAACAGCAAUCGAUAGAUCUGGGCAACACAAUGCCAACUCACAACCUUCUAUAAGCGACACUCACUUCUCCCAAUUCUUAACCACGCAAACGCUGAUAGACAUUUGGCGAGCCCAACACCCCUCCACACAGGACUACACCCUGUUCCAAAUUAUUAUGCAAAUUAUAUUUUUCUAAUUUACCUAAAUAAUUUAUGUAAAUAACAGUCAGCAUAAUUCUCAUGUUAUCAACUAUUAAGAGUAUAAUUCAAAUUUUAUUGAACAAACCUCCUAAUGAUAACAGUAUUUUUUUUAAACAUAAAAAACUUACAAUGCACUGUUCCAAAUUAUUACGCACAGUAAGUUUCAAAACACUUUAUAGGUGGUAAAGAACUGAAAAUUGCCAUUUGUUGUGUUUGCAGCAUAUUUACUGAAAUCAAAAGCUAUUUCAAUUGAACUUAUAACAACAUUUUAACUUUUUAAACAUUUUAACAGGUCACGUUACAUUUUAACGUAGGACCCCUUAUUUGAUAGCAGCUUCACAAGUCUUGCAUCCAUUAAACUUGUGAGUUUUUGGACAGUUUCUAUUUGAAUUUGUUUGCAAGAUGUCAGAAUAGCCUCCCAGAGCUGCUGUUUGGAUGUAAACUGCCUCCCACCCUCAUAGAUCUUUUGCUUGAGGAUGCUCCAAAGGUUCUCAAUAGGAUUGAGGUCAGGGGAGGAUGGAGGCCACACCAUGACUUUCUCUCCUUUUAUCCCCAUAGCAGCCAUUGAUGCAGAGGUAUUCUUUGCAGCACGAGAUGGUGCAUUGUCAUGCAUGAAGAUGAUUUUAUUACAGACAGCAUAGUUCUUCCUUCUGUAGCAGGGAAGAAAGUGGUCAGUCAGAAACUCCACAUACUUUGCAGAAGUCAUCUUUACGCCUUCGGGGACACUAAAGGGGCCGACCAGGUCUCUUCCCAUGAUUCCGACCCAAAACAUGACUCCACCACUGCCUUGCUGACGUUGCAGCCUUGUUGGAACAGGGUGGCCAUCCACCAACCAUCCACUACUCCAUCCAUCUGGACCAUCCAGGGUUGCACGGCACUCAGUGAACAGAACUGUUAGUCUUCAUGUAUUUUUCUGCCCAAUGCAGAAUUUUUCUGCUUGUGAGCAUUGGUUAGUGGUGGCCGAAUAUAAGGUUUAUGCACAGUUGCAAGACUCUGGAGGACUCUACACCUUGAUGUCCGUGGAACUCCAGAGGCACUAGCAGCUUCAAAUAUCUGUUUGCUUCUAUGUAAUAGUAUUUUAGCAGCUGCUCUCUUGAUCCAAUGCAUGGAUCUGGCAGAAAUCUUCCUCAAUGUGCCUUUAUCUGCACAAACCUGUCUGUGCUCUGAAUCAGCCACAAAUCUCUUAAUAGUGUGAUGAUCAUGCUUAGGUUUUCGUGAAAUAUCUAAUGUUUUCAUACCUCGUCUAUUUCACUCUUUUCGGCAGCAGAGAGAUCCUUUUCUUCCCCACAUUGCAUGAAAAUAGUGCUCUGCUUAAUAAUGUGGCAAGCCCUCCUUUAGUAGUCUUUCCUUAAAUUGGGCUCACCUGGCAAUCUAAUUAUCACAGGUGUCCGAGAUUGUUUUCAGUGAUCAAAACAGCCCUGAGACACAAUGCCAUCCAUGAGUUAAACUGAAAAACUAAAUAUUCAAUCUUUGUGACACUUAAAUAGAAUUUGCAUAAUAAUUUGGAACAGGGUGUACACCUUCUAUUCACACCCACACGACUCAUACUCCCGCAUAGACCACUUCCUGAUCUCGCCAAGUGUACUACCCCAGGUGACCGCAACCAACAUAGGCCCAACAUCCUGGUCUGACCACGCAGACAUCACGCUCACCAUAUCCUUACCUGACAUUAAACAGCCAUGGACAUAGAGACUCAACCCCCUACUCCUCCAUGACAGACAGAUAAAGGACUCCGUCGCUAGGGCCACAGCGGACUACUUUUAAUUCAAUACACCCUCGGCACCGUCCCCAAUGGCCCUAUGGGCCACACACAAAACUGUCAUCAGAGGCACUCUCAUUAGCCUCGCCACAGCAGGACCAAACACAAAAACGACCCCCUACCAACAACUCUAGCCGAACUAAACGCCACCAGAGACCUACUCAAACGAUUCACACAAGCAGACACAACCAAAGCCCUUAUGUGGAUCAAACAGAAAUAUUACGAAAAAGGAAACAAAGCUGACUCAAUGCUAGCCAGAUGGCUUAAGCAACGCAUCAAAGCCAAAAAAAUAUCCUCCAUAUGCACAAAAGAGGGUAUGCUCUGUAACUCCCCUGAACGCAUAGGCAACACGUUCCAACACUACUUUCAGGUACUUAUACAAACGUUCCCCACAACUGCAAAAGGAUCCCAUGACCCACCUAAACCACAUUGACCGCUUUUUACAACAUGUCACACUUCCAACACUACGUAAAGAAGCAAGACAAGCAAUAGCCGAAACCACGGUAGAAAGCAACUGCUCUGGGAUCAUGCAAACCCAAUAAAAGUCCAGGCCCUGACGGAUAUACCCUCUAUUGUAAAGAGGUCAGCCUCCUACUACUCAAACAUCUUUGCACAGUAUUCAACGCCACCCUAAAAGGAAUACACCUACCCACCGACAUGACCAUGGCAAACAUCUGCCUAAUCCCCAAACCCAACAAAGACCACACGGAACCUGAACAUUAUAGGCUCAUCUUGCUCCUAAAUGUGGACCUAAAAAUCAUGAAUAAAAUAAUGGCCAACAGACUCAACCCCUACCUAGGGGGCUUGAUCCACCCCGACCAGGUGGGCUUUAUCCCCCAUAGACAAGCCUCAGACAACACACACAGGAACAUAGACAUCAUAUAGCUAACGCAACACCGUCAAAUCCCUAAAGCCAUAAUCUCGCUAUACGCUGAAAAAGCUUUCGACCGCCUAUUCUGGCCCUUUCUCUACCGCACCUUAGACCGAUUGGGAUUCCCAAUGGAAUUCCUCUCCUUUCUCCAAACAACCUACCACUCCCCACAAGGAGUUCUCCUCCUCCCCAACAUCACACCACCUAGGUUCCCUAUCACCAACGGCACCCAGGAAGGAUGCCCCCUCUCACCCCUUUUGUUCGCACUCUCCCUAGAACCACUCUUAUAAGCAAUACGCGCCGACCAAACAAUCGAAGGAGUAACCAUAAGGGACAAAACCUACAAAGUGUCAGCCUAUGCGGACGACAUCCUCCUCAUGCUCACUAACCCAGACCAAUCAAUAGAUUCCCUCCUAUCUCUCAUCCACGACUACACCUAGGCAGCCGGAUACAAAUUGAACUUAGACAUAUCAGAAAUCCUGCAAAUCCAACUCAAAGAAUCCUACCUAGAACACCUAAAACAUAAAUACCCAUUCUGAAUCUGCCCCUAAGCCAUCACAUACCUGGGAAUACAACUACCAGCAAACUUGACCUCCCUAUACGAAAAGAACUACACCCCACUCCUACACAAAGCACACAAUGACAUGACGCUGGGCAACACUGGGGGUCUCCUGGUUAGGUCGAUUAACAUCUAUUAAAAUUAAUCUUUUACCCCGACUCCUAUACCUCUUCCAAACACUUCCUAUCCCACUUCACAGAGCAGACACGAAAGCACUACAAACAGCUGUAAACACGUUCAUUUGGAAUGGAUGCAAACCCAGAGUCAACAGACUAACCCUCUAUGUUCCCAAAAAACAUGGCGGACUAGGGCUCCUGAACUUCUCCCACUACCAUGCAGCAGCUCACCCGGCCCAAAUACAACAAUGGCACUGCAAACCAAACGAUGGGUCAACCUAGAACACACACUGUUCGGAUGGGACCACCCAUCCCUAUACCUUUGAGUACCCAAGCCACACUGACCCCUACCCCCACAGAUGACCCCUGCCAUCACACACUCCCUGGACCUAUGGGACAAACUGCAAGACAAAUUUGAACUCUCAUCAUUUCUAUCUCCCAUGACCCCGAUUUGGAGGAAUAAACUAUUUCCCCCAGGCCUCACCCCAGCACACUUCGCACGCUUUGAACAAUGCGACAUAGUGAGAUUAGGCCACCUAUACCGAGACAACGCCGUCAUAAACUAUACAGACAUUCAAGACUCAUACUCCCUAACAACCUUUGACCACUUUAGAUACAUACAAACACGCGGCUUCGCAUCGACCCCGAUCAUAAAACAAGCAGGCACAGCACCGCUCAAUCGGUUCGAACUUGAUUGCGUGACCCACCCAAAUAGACAGGGACAGAUCUCCGACCUCUACACAACCCUCGCAACCCACGCUACCCAAGUCUCACUCACAUACAUCACAGCCUGGGAAAAAGACCUGGGCCCCCUGGAGGACACCACUGACUGGGCGGACAUCUGGGAGGCCUCACUAUCGGUGUGCUGCUGGAAACAGUGUGGAGAAACCGGCACGUUCUUCCACUGUUGGUGGACAUGUCCCAAACUGAAACCCCUGUGGCUGAGUGUCACAGCACUGAUAUCAAAGCUACUAAACAAACCUUACCCAUUGGACCCGUGGGCCCUUUUACUCUCCAAACCCUUAGAGACCCUCACCAGAGCAGAGAACAAAUUGAGCGCACAGGGCGAUUGCCGACAUCUGGUCCACGAACCGCACCUCAACUCGAUCCAUCAUCUCCAAAAAGAUACAGGAAAGCAUAUAAAUGGACAAACUCACAUCACAACUACAUGACACUCACAAACACUUCCACAAAGUCUGGGACCCCUGGCUGGAAGGGGACACCACACUACCAUGGUAGGGAAACUUAAGCAGAAAGGAAGGACACAACUACUAGGAUAAGAAUAACACAAGAGAUGGAAAGAAACCCAAACAACAGGCGCAUACGUGGCUGGUCCCCCAUGACCUCACCUACCCCCUCCCCAUCAUCACCAGGCUGGGGUCGCGUGCAGUGACGAUUUCCAACACCUAAACCACUCCUGCCCACCCCUAGCCCCUCCCAACCACUCUACAUCUACUCCCCACUACCCUCUGUUAAACUCCACAAGGCAUACUUAAAACACAGACUUGGCCCUCGCACAAGGCGCACAACACCAGAUGGACGGAACCCCUAAGGAAGAACUCAUAACCAUCCCAAGGGACGCAGGAAAACACACCUGGGAUCAUACACAAAGGUGAAACCUGCAACUAGCUCCCCAUAUGCUAAAUGGCGACCACCCGACGGACCACAGAUACCAUGACCCCCCAAAGUAGACGACUUCCCUCAUGCCACAGCAACCUAGACUCUAACAAGUUGGGAACCAGCAAGCCCGACCGCAAGGUCCACAGGCAACCUAGGACAACGCAGGCUUGAAACCAUUAACCCACAAGGGACACCCUCCAACCUACCAUGAACACUGUGUGCACGAAUGUCUGAAAACCCAUUUUCCUGUAAAAUGCUCUAUAGACUCGCCAAAUACAAAGUGUACUAACCUACGUCUUCCUUAUUUAUAAGAAUAAAAAAAAAAAGUCUAUAAUAUAGCCUGUGAUAUGUACCAAAUUUUCAAAGUGCUCCAUGACUUCCAAACCAUAGAGCACAUUUAUUCUAAUCUAGAUAGAUAGGUCCAAAAUAAUCUUGCAGAAACCUCUGGGAAAGCAUAACAUUAUGAAUGGAAUUUACCAAAAAGUGCAAACUGCAUGAAUAAGAUAUAACCCAGUAAAACAAUGCCAGCUACAUAGUCAAUGGAUUAGAAAGCCACAUUGUUCAAAAAGGAAGUGUUUAGCAUGACCCAUAAUUCCUCUUAAUCUACAGUAAUUUUAUUAAGAAUCUAGAAAGAGGAGCAAUAUGUAUCAAAACACAUGUAGCAAUAUGUACCAAAAUAUGUAUCAAACACAGUAAAUCUAUUUUAUAAUUCAAUAUAAUAGUUCCUGAUAACAGCUCACCAGAACAGCCUAUAGCUACUGAUGAUAUUCCAAAUAACAUCUGGGUUACUGCCACCUUAUCUCAAGUUGUUGUGUAAAUCCUAGUCUAGAUCAUUUUAUUUUUUUCUAUGGGAUUAAAUAUAACAUCUGGCAUUAUAGGAAAAAUUGGUGACAAUAUGGACAGCAUCUACAUUGUAUAGUUUUGUGCAGUUUUCAGUUUUGGAGUUUUUUAAAUUAACGUUGUAUUCAUUUUUUAUUCUCAUCUGUAUUCAAUUUGUAUUCCCAUGGAAUUAAUUUAUGUACAAACAUUUGUCUUUACAUUUAAAUGUAUUUUUUUUAAAACCAUAUUUACUGUGUUUAACUUUAUGCAAACAUAAUUGUAUUUUUUAAAAACUAUUUUUUAAUGUUCAUAUGUUUCAUAUUUUUCUUAAUAUUUUAGGCAUUCCCAAAAUGUCAUCCUUGAAAAGAAAACUCUGAAUGAUUGCCAGAUGUUUCCUAAAUUGAUUGUGG